GUCGCCCUUUACUCCAGAUAUGAUCCCCUGAUCCCUCUAGAUUAUCGGAAUUCAGAGUGUGAGAGAGAGAAAUGGUGAGAAAGCGGCUGUUCGCGAAGGAGGCGGUGGAGUUCUUGAAUCAUAUGAUGGAGGACAAGCCCAUGCUGCCCUUCCUGAUACCUCUGGGAUGCGUGGCCUGGGCAAUCGAGCGUUUCCUCGUCCCCUUCUCCAAUUGGGUUCCCCUCGCCUUCGCCGUCUGGGCUACCAUACAGUAUGGGAGGUUUCAACGUCAGCUACUUGCGGAAG
This 285-nucleotide unclassified non-coding RNA is filed under the name Hevea brasiliensis (rubber tree). Lineage: Eukaryota; Viridiplantae; Streptophyta; Magnoliopsida; Malpighiales; Euphorbiaceae. The record is from RNAcentral.